AUACUUACCUGGCAGGAAAGAUACCAUGAUCCCGAAGGUGGUAUCCCUCAAAUGUGCGAUUUCCCCAAAUGUGGGAAAUUUGACUGAAUAAUUUGUGAUAGUAGGGGACUGCGUUUGCCCUCUCCCUUG
Molecule: small nuclear RNA, 129 nt
Filed under: Dasypus novemcinctus (nine-banded armadillo)
Lineage: Eukaryota; Metazoa; Chordata; Mammalia; Cingulata; Dasypodidae
Description: U1 spliceosomal RNA (ENSDNOG00000027744.1)
Rfam family: U1 spliceosomal RNA
About the family: U1 is a small nuclear RNA (snRNA) component of the spliceosome (involved in pre-mRNA splicing).
Source: RNAcentral